This is a non-coding RNA of Oryctolagus cuniculus (rabbit), 1832 nucleotides long. NCBI's taxonomy places the organism in Eukaryota, Metazoa, Chordata, Mammalia, Lagomorpha, Leporidae. The record is from RefSeq and is a predicted model, not a curated record.
GGCACAAGAGGAAGGUUCUUAUUCAAUCAGGUCACAGCUGUUGGCUUGCUCCAAUUCUGGCUUGCUGUCAUUGUUUUGGGUGCCUCCGCCGAUUUGAAGUUUCUUGAGCAUCAAUAUCCUAAAUGUUUUCUUGGUCUGAGUUGGUUUUCCUUCUUCCUUCCCAAAUUUUGUAUUCUGACACAAUACAAACAAGAGUUUGGACAGAGUAGCCAUUAGGAAAUAAAAAACACAACAAAUAGGCUUUUGAAGCUACAGGUAACACGACCAAGGUGAGAUUUUGUGUUUUGGAAAAUCAAAUGGAACAAGUUGGCUGUGGUGACAGAUAUUAACUGCCUCCGUUCAGGUUAAUUCAGUCAGAAUUCCACAGGCAGUCAGCUGGAGGGGUGGAUGAAUCCGGGAAUAGCCGGUUUCCUUGCAACUAAAUGAAGCCCAAUAUCAUUAUGGAUUCUUGCAUUUCUUUGGCUUUUUUCUCUUUUUUCUUAUUUAUCAUGGUUUGUAAUGAAUUUUCUGAUGUGAGCUUUGGUUUUGAGGCUGCAAUAUGGAGUUCAGGGCACCGGAGGAAUGGUCUUUUUCAAUCAGGGCACAGCUGCUGGCUUGCUCCAAUUCUGGCUUGCUGUCAUUGUUUUGGGUGCCUCCGCCGAUUUGAGGUUUCUUGAGUGGCAAUUUCCUAAACGUUUUCUGAGUCUCAGUUGUUUUUGUCCUCUUCCUUCCCAAAUUUUGUAUUCUGACGUAAUACAAGCAAGAUUUUGGACAGAAUAGACAUUAUGAAAUAAAAAACACAUCAAAUAGGCUUUUGAAAGCUACAGGUAACACGACCAAGGUGAGAUUUUGUGUUUUGGAAAAAGAUAUGGAACACUUUUGCUGAGGUGACAGAUAUUAAUUGCCUCCAAACCGAGUUUCACAGCGAAUUUCAUUUUAAUUCAGUCAGAAACCACAGACACUCAGCUGGGAGGUGUAGAAGAAUCUGGAAACAGCCAUUAACAAGGGAAUAAAUCAAGCCCAAUAUCACUAAGAACUCCUGCAUUUCUUUGGAUUUUUUCUGAUUUUUCUUUUUUAUCAUGGUUUGUAAUGAAUUUUCUGAUCUGAGGUUUGGUUUUGAGGUUGCAAUAUCGAGUUCAGGACACCGGAGGAAUGGUCUUUUUCAAUCAGGGCACAGCUGUUGGCUUGCUCCAAUUCUGUCUUGCUUUCAAGGUUUUGGCUUCCUCAGCGGCCCUUUGUUUCUUGAGCGGCAAUUUCCUAAAUGUUUUCUGGGUCUGAGUUGGUUUUGCCUUCUUCCUUCCCAAAUUUUGUAAUCUGACGCAAUAGAAACAAAAGUUUGGGCAGAGUAGCCAUUAUGAAAUAAAAAACACAACAAAUAGGCGUUUGAAGCUUAGAAAUCUACAGGUAACACAACCAAGGUGAGUUUUUGUGUUUUGGAAAAUCAAAUGGAACACUUUGGCUGAGGUGACAGAUAUUAAUUGCCUCCAAACUGAGUUUCACUGCGAUUUUCAGGUUAAUUCAGUCAGAAUUCCACAGGCAGUCAGCUGGAGGGGUGGAUGAAUCCGGGAACAGCCCGUUUCCUUGCGACUGAAUCAAGCCCAAUGUCAUUAUGGAUUCUUGCAUUUCUUUGGCUUUUUUCUCAUUUUUCUUAUUUAUCAUGGUUUGUAAUGAAUUUUCUGAUGUCAGCUUUGGUUUUGAGUCUGCAAUAUGGAGUUCAGGGCACCAGAGGUAUGGUCUUUUUCAAACAGGGCACAGCUGUUGUGCUGCUCCAAUUCUGGCUUGCUGUCAUUGUUUUGAGUGCCUCAGCCGAUUUGUGGUUUCUUGAGCGGCAAUUUCCUAAAUGUUUUCUGGGU